AGCGUGGACAGGAGGCCUCCAAGGACAGUGCUGAAGCCAUUUCAGGCAGCAGCCUCUGUUGGAAGAACAGCUUUGCCAUAGCAAUCACACCAGGAGGGUUCCUCACCUUAUCAGCUGAACGAGUUCCCUGAAAAUCAGACCAAAGAUCAUGCAAGAGGAGUUUUUUAUUGUUGCUGUAGUAAGUUUUUAAAGUAUUUUAUAUAGUCUAUGGGCCCACACAAAGAAAUAUU
RNAcentral lists this long non-coding RNA (230 nucleotides) under Numida meleagris (helmeted guineafowl). RNAcentral's name for it is "lncRNA (ENSNMEG00000015517.1)". Lineage: Eukaryota; Metazoa; Chordata; Aves; Galliformes; Numididae. The record is from RNAcentral.